GAUCCUGGCUCAGAAUCAACGCUGGCGGCGUGCCUAACACAUGCAAGUCGAACGAGAAAGUGGAGCAAUCCAUGAGUAAAGUGGCGACCGGGUGAGUAACACGUGACUACCUGCCCUUGAGUGGGGGAUAACUCCGGGAAACCGGGGCUAAUACCGCAUAAUAUCGAAAGAUCAAAGGAGCAAUCCGCUUUUGGAGGGGGUCGCGGCUGAUUAGCUAGUUGGUAGGGUAAUGGCCUACCAAGGCAAAGAUCGGUAUCCGGCCUGAGAGGGCGCACGGACACACUGGAACUGAAACACGGUCCAGACUCCUACGGGAGGCA
Molecule: ribosomal RNA, 320 nt
Filed under: uncultured Acidobacteriota bacterium
Lineage: Bacteria; Pseudomonadati; Acidobacteriota
Description: bacterial SSU rRNA
Rfam family: Bacterial small subunit ribosomal RNA
Source: RNAcentral